GAUUCGUCACACUAUCAUUAACUGAAUCCAUAGGUUAAUGAGGCGAACCGGGGGAACUGAAACAUCUAAGUACCCCGAGGAAAAGAAAUCAACCGAGAUUCCCCCAGUAGCGGCGAGCGAACGGGGAGGAGCCCAGAGCCUGAAUCAGCAUGUGUGUUAGUGGAAGCGUCUGGAAAGGCGCGCGAUACAGGGUGACAGCCCCGUACACAAAAGCGCAUGUGCUGUGAGCUCGAUGAGUAGGGCGGGACACGUGGUAUCCUGUCUGAAUAUGGGGGGACCAUCCUCCAAGGCUAAAUACUCCUGACUGACCGAUAGUGAACCAGUACCGUGAGGGAAAGGCGAAAAGAACCCCGGCGAGGGGAGUGAAAAAGAACCUGAAACCGUGUACGUACAAGCAGUGGGAGCACCCUUCGGGGUGUGACUGCGUACCUUUUGUAUAAUGGGUCAGCGACUUAUAUUCUGUAGCAAGGUUAACCGUAUAGGGGAGCCGGAGGGAAACCGAGUCUUAACCGGGCGUUAAGUUGCAGGGUAUAGACCCGAAACCCGGUGAUCUAGCCAUGGGCAGGUUGAAGGUUGGGUAACACUAACUGGAGGACCGAACCGACUAAUGUUGAAAAAUUAGCGGAUGACCUGUGGCUGGGGGUGAAAGGCCAAUCAAACCGGGAGAUAGCUGGUUCUCCCCGAAAGCUAUUUAGGUAGCGCCUCGUGAAUUCAUCUCCGGGGGUAGAGCACUGUUUCGGCUAGGGGGCCAUCCCGGCUUACCAACCCGAUGCAAACUGCGAAUACCGGAGAAUGUUAUCACGGGAGACACACGGCGGGUGCUAACGUCCGUCGUGAAGAGGGAAACAACCCAGACCGCCAGCUAAGGUCCCAAAGUCAUGGUUAAGUGGGAAACGAUGUGGGAAGGCCCAGACAGCCAGGAUGUUGGCUUAGAAGCAGCCAUCAUUUAAAGAAAGCGUAAUAGCUCACUGGUCGAGUCGGCCUGCGCGGAAGAUGUAACGGGGCUAAACCAUGCACCGAAGCUGCGGCAGCGAACGUAUCACCCAAGACAACUUUACGGAGUUGACGAUUGACGGAGCGAAGCGACGUCAAAGCGUUCAUUAAAGUCGAGUUGGCUUAGGGAUACGUUCGUUGGGUAGGGGAGCGUUCUGUAAGCCUGUGAAGGUGUGUCGUGAGGCAUGCUGGAGGUAUCAGAAGUGCGAAUGCUGACAUAAGUAACGAUAAAGCGGGUGAAAAGCCCGCUCGCCGGAAGACCAAGGGUUCCUGUCCAACGUUAAUCGGGGCAGGGUGAGUCGACCCCUAAGGCGAGGCCGAAAGGCGUAGUCGAUGGGAAACGGGUUAAUAUUCCCGUACUUGGUGUUACUGCGAAGGGGGGACGGAGAAGGCUAUGUUGGCCGGGCGACGGUUGUCCCGGUUUAAGCGUGUAGGUGUGUGUUCCAGGUAAAUCCGGUUCACUUUAACACUGAGGCGUGACGACGAGGCACUACGGUGCUGAAGCAACAAAUGCCCUGCUUCCAGGAAAAGCCUCUAAGCAUCAGGUAACAUCAAAUCGUACCCCAAACCGACACAGGUGGUCAGGUAGAGAAUACCAAGGCGCUUGAGAGAACUCGGGUGAAGGAACUAGGCAAAAUGGUGCCGUAACUUCGGGAGAAGGCACGCUGACACGUAGGUGAAGUGAUUUACUCAUGGAGCUGAAGUCAGUCGAAGAUACCAGCUGGCUGCAACUGUUUAUUAAAAACACAGCACUGUGCAAACACGAAAGUGGACGUAUACGGUGUGACGCCUGCCCGGUGCCGGAAGGUUAAUUGAUGGGGUCAGCGCAAGCGAAGCUCCUGAUCGAAGCCCCGGUAAACGGCGGCCGUAACUAUAACGGUCCUAAGGUAGCGAAAUUCCUUGUCGGGUAAGUUCCGACCUGCACGAAUGGCGUAAUGAUGGCCAGGCUGUCUCCACCCGAGACUCAGUGAAAUUGAACUCGCUGUGAAGAUGCAGUGUACCCGCGGCAAGACGGAAAGACCCCGUGAACCUUUACUAUAGCUUGACACUGAACAUUGAGCCUUGAUGUGUAGGAUAGGUGGGAGGCUUUGAAGUGUGGACGCCAGUCUGCAUGGAGCCGACCUUGAAAUACCACCCUUUAAUGUUUGAUGUUCUAACGUGGACCCGUAAUCCGGGUUGCGGACAGUGUCUGGUGGGUAGUUUGACUGGGGCGGUCUCCUCCUAAAGAGUAACGGAGGAGCACGAAGGUUGGCUAAUCCUGGUCGGACAUCAGGAGGUUAGUGCAAUGGCAUAAGCCAGCUUGACUGCGAGCGUGACGGCGCGAGCAGGUGCGAAAGCAGGUCAUAGUGAUCCGGUGGUUCUGAAUGGAAGGGCCAUCGCUCAACGGAUAAAAGGUACUCCGGGGAUAACAGGCUGAUACCGCCCAAGAGUUCAUAUCGACGGCGGUGUUUGGCACCUCGAUGUCGGCUCAUCACAUCCUGGGGCUGAAGUAGGUCCCAAGGGUAUGGCUGUUCGCCAUUUAAAGUGGUACGCGAGCUGGGUUUAGAACGUCGUGAGACAGUUCGGUCCCUAUCUGCCGUGGGCGCUGGAGAACUGAGGGGGGCUGCUCCUAGUACGAGAGGACCGGAGUGGACGCAUCACUGGUGUUCGGGUUGUCAUGCCAAUGGCACUGCCCGGUAGCUAAAUGCGGAAGAGAUAAGUGCUGAAAGCAUCUAAGCACGAAACUUGCCCCGAGAUGAGUUCUCCCUGAGACUUAGAGUCUCCUGAAGGAACGUUGAAGACGACGACGUUGAUAGGCCGGGUGUGUAAGCGCAGCGAUGCGUUGAGCUAACCGGUACUAAUGAACCGUGAGGCUUAACCUUACAACGCCGAAG
RNAcentral lists this ribosomal RNA (2867 nucleotides) under Salmonella enterica subsp. enterica serovar Typhimurium. RNAcentral describes it as "partial 23S ribosomal RNA". It matches the Rfam family "Bacterial large subunit ribosomal RNA". Lineage: Bacteria; Pseudomonadati; Pseudomonadota; Gammaproteobacteria; Enterobacterales; Enterobacteriaceae. The record is from RNAcentral.